Molecule: ribosomal RNA, 505 nt
Filed under: uncultured bacterium
Lineage: Bacteria
Description: partial 16S ribosomal RNA
Rfam family: Bacterial small subunit ribosomal RNA
Source: RNAcentral
GACGAACGCUGGCGGCGUGCCUAAUACAUGCAAGUCGAACGCACAGUUUAUACCGUAGCUUGCUACACAAUAAACUGUGAGUUGCGAACGGGUGAGUAACGCGUAGGUAACCUGCCUGGUAGCGGGGGAUAACUAUUGGAAACGAUAGCUAAUACCGCAUAAUAUUGAUUAUUGCAUGAUAAUUGAUUGAAAGAUGCUAUUGCAUCACUACCAGAUGGACCUGCGUUGUAUUAGCUAGUAGGUGAGGUAACGGCUCACCUAGGCGACGAUACAUAGCCGACCUGAGAGGGUGAUCGGCCACACUGGGACUGAGACACGGCCCAGACUCCUACGGGAGGCAGCAGUAGGGAAUCUUCGGCAAUGGACGAAAGUCUGACCGAGCAACGCCGCGUGAGUGAAGAAGGGUUUCGGAUCGUAAAGCUCUGUUGUAAGAGAAGAACGGGUGUGAGAGUGGAAAGUUCACACUGUGACGGUAUCUUACCAGAAAGAGACGGCUAACUACGUG